AAAAAAGUCAGGAAAAGAAGGAGUACAUUUUGGUUCGGACUUUCAGAGAGAGGCAGCUUGGUGGGAAAGCCUCAGCAGCACAGAAUGGAAGCAGUCUUUUCGGUUUCUCUUGUUUCUUCAAAGGAAACAGGCUCCGCAGUGGAAUAAAAAAGUAUAUUGCGGCGUAAAUCGGCGUUAACGAUUUCGAGUGACGGCAGCAAAGCCGUAACUAGGGUGGUACCACGGUAAAUUCGUCCCUGUU
This 241-nucleotide non-coding RNA is filed under the name Bacillota bacterium. Its description in RNAcentral is "Firmicutes bacterium T-box sequence". It matches the Rfam family "T-box leader". From Rfam's summary of the family: Uncharged tRNA acts as the effector for transcription antitermination of genes in the T-box leader family. T-boxes are found upstream of many aminoacyl-tRNA synthetase genes and some amino acid biosynthetic genes usually in Gram-positive bacteria. The anticodon of a specific tRNA base pairs to a specifier sequence within the T-box motif, and the NCCA acceptor tail of the tRNA base pairs to a conserved bulge in the T-box antiterminator hairpin. Lineage: Bacteria; Bacillati; Bacillota. The record is from RNAcentral.